GACGAACGCUGGCGGCGUGCUUAACACAUGCAAGUCGAACGGAAAGGCCCUGCUUUUGUGGGGUGCUCGAGUGGCGAACGGGUGAGUAACACGUGAGUAACCUGCCCUUGACUUUGGGAUAACUUCAGGAAACUGGGGCUAAUACCGGAUAGGAGCUCCUGCUGCAUGGUGGGGGUUGGAAAGUUUCGGCGGUUGGGGAUGGACUCGCGGCUUAUCAGCUUGUUGGUGGGGUAGUGGCUUACCAAGGCUUUGACGGGUAGCCGGCCUGAGAGGGUGACCGGCCACAUUGGGACUGGGAUACGGCCCAGACUCCUACGGGAGGCAGCAGUGGGGAAUAUUGCACAAUGGGCGGAAGCCUGAUGCAGCAACGCCGCGUGCGGGAUGACGGCCUUCGGGUUGUAAACCGCUUUCGCCUGUGACGAAGCGUGAGUGACGGUAAUGGGUAAAGAAGCACCGGCUAACUACG
Molecule: ribosomal RNA, 466 nt
Filed under: uncultured bacterium
Lineage: Bacteria
Description: partial 16S ribosomal RNA
Rfam family: Bacterial small subunit ribosomal RNA
Source: RNAcentral